GAAUCAUUUGAGGGCUCUGUUCGUG
This 25-nucleotide non-coding RNA is filed under the name Cricetulus griseus (Chinese hamster). Lineage: Eukaryota; Metazoa; Chordata; Mammalia; Rodentia; Cricetidae. The record is from RNAcentral.